Molecule: ribosomal RNA, 494 nt
Filed under: uncultured bacterium
Lineage: Bacteria
Description: partial 16S ribosomal RNA
Rfam family: Bacterial small subunit ribosomal RNA
Source: RNAcentral
GACGAACGCUGGCGGCGUGCUUAACACAUGCAAGUCGAACGGUGAAGCGCCUUCCUUUUUGGUGGGUGUGGAUGAGUGGCGAACGGGCGAGUAACACGUGAGUAACCUGCCCCCUUCUUCUGGAUAACCGCAUGAAAGUGUGGCUAAUACGGGAUAUUCUGGGUCUGUCGCAUGAUGGGUCUGGGAAAGAUAUUGUUUCGGUGGGGGAUGGGCUCGCGGCCUAUCAGCUUGUUGGUGGGGUGAUGGCCUACCAAGGCGGUGACGGGUAGCCGGCCUGAGAGGGUGGACGGUCACACUGGGACUGAGACACGGCCCAGACUCCUACGGGAGGCAGCAGUGGGGAAUAUUGCACAAUGGGCGCAAGCCUGAUGCAGCGACGCCGCGUGAGGGAUGGAGGCCUUCGGGUUGUGAACCUCUUUCGCCAGUGAAGCAGGCCUGCCCCGUUUGUGGGUGGGUUGACGGUAGCUGGAUAAGAAGCGCCGGCUAACUACGUG